Molecule: ribosomal RNA, 301 nt
Filed under: uncultured bacterium
Lineage: Bacteria
Description: partial 16S ribosomal RNA
Rfam family: Bacterial small subunit ribosomal RNA
Source: RNAcentral
CAGCCGCCGCGGGAAUACGAAGGGUGCAAGCGUUAAUCGGAAUUACUGGGCGUAAAGCGCACGUAGGCGGCUUUGUAAGUUAGAGGUGAAAGCCUGGAGCUCAACUCCAGAAUUGCCUUUAAGACUGCCGAGCUAGCAGGUGAGAGAGGUAAGUGGAAUUCCGAGUGUAGAGGUGAAAUUCGUAGAUAUUCGGAAGAACACCAGUGGCGAAGGCGGCUUACUGGCUCAUACUGGACGCUGAGGUGCGAAAGCGUGGGGAGCAAACAGGAUUAGAGACCCCCGUAGUCCCUGUCUCUUAUAA